CCUCAGUGUGUUUGAAGAGUGCAAGUCAUUUAUUUUGUAGAGUGUCCCUCAACUUGACUUCUCUGACGUUUCUCCAUGAUGGUGUCCAGGUCGUGUUGGGCAGGGAUACCACACCUAUAGGAUGCAUCAAAUCAGAAGGCACAUGAUGUCUUCAUGUCCCUCUCCUGGCAGUGUCCACUUCAUCAACCUGAGUAAGGUGGUCUCUGCCAAGAUUCUCCUCUGUAAACUUUCUAUUUUUCCCUUUGUUAUCAGUAUUUGUCUUGUGGGGAAAUAACUCUGAGGAUAUCUAAAUGUUCUAAUUCUCAUCAAACUUUGACCUGCUAUGUUAGCAUUUACUGAUGAUUUUGCCUGAAACAAUUAUUACUGUCAGGGUAUGCUUUUUAGAUUUCUGGGGCUGCCUU
RNAcentral lists this long non-coding RNA (401 nucleotides) under Marmota monax (woodchuck). The record is from RNAcentral. Lineage: Eukaryota; Metazoa; Chordata; Mammalia; Rodentia; Sciuridae.